GGCUGUCUUGAUGGUCCCGACACUGGGGAAUGGUGGGUCCCCUUGCGGUUGGGUGACCAGGGCAGGCAGGGAAACACAUGUGGUUACGCAGCCACACCUGUGUUCCAGACCGUACAGCCAACCCCACCCAGCGACCAGACUCCUGCUGGCAUCGGGGACGCUGAGAGGUUCGGGUGGGUCCCCGAGCAGGGGCAAGUUUAUGUGAAAACCACCAGCUCUCCUGAGGUGGGUUCUACCUGGAGUCAGGACACGUGAGGGUUUUCGUUAAUGUUUUCUUGUGAAAAAUUUCAAACAUUAAAAGCCGGAGAGAGCAUUUAAUGAACCCCGAGUACCCACUACUCAGUUGCAACAAUUAUUAGCUUUGUCCAUCUCGUUUCAUCUGUCCCCUCUUUUUUUUUUUUUUUUGCCAGGGUAGUUGAAAACAAAUCCCAGAUAUCAGGUGACUUCAUGUGGAAUGACUUCAGUAAGUACCUCUCACUAACUGGCCAUGCCAGGAUCACACCUGAGGAAAUUAACAGUAAUCCCAUGGUGAGCGUCAGCUGACACUCAGUCCCUCUUUAACUGCGCCCCGCCUCCUCCCGUAAAUAUGUAAACCCACACUGCAAGGGUGGAUGGAGGGCCAUGUGGCCGGGCGGCUUCUGUGCUUUAGCUUUGGAGCCUUAAGAGGGUGAGGGUUGAAUACCUGUGGCUUUGGGUGGGUGGUUUGCUUUAUGGGGCCUCUCUUUCUUCCUAUGCCAAAGGUACUGACCUCUCCCAAGGCGGUCAGGAGGACUGAAUGAAAUUGUAUGAGUACAGUACUGGGUACUUGGUAGGGACUCAAUGAAUGGUGGCAGUGCUUACGAUGUUUUCUAUUUUGCAUAUAAGGAAACUGAAGUUCAGAGCAGGAGAGUGACUUGCUCAAGCUCACACAGCUCAGAGUGGUUAAGCUAGGAUGGAAGCGUAGGUCUUCUAAGUGCUCUGGGAUGUGUGUUCAACACAGCCCCCUCACCCCCUCUAAUACUGGCCUUGUCUGCCACCACCCCAUACUACAAAUGGAAAUGACACAGAGGGUGACAUCAACAGGUCCCUUUUUCUCGAUAGCCACUAGAUCAUGGUGCUGUGGGCUGAGCAGAUGAUUGAUAGGACAUCACUGGGCCUGGCUCUCCAGGAGACCUAGAAAAAGAUCUUGCCCCUCUCUGGGCCUCAGUUUCCCUAUCUGUACCACAAGGGCAUUGACCUCCACGUGGUCUUCGAGACCUCUUCCAGUUCUGCUUUGUUUGCACCAGGGUUAGUAACCGUGGGAAUGGGAGAGAUGGAGAUACUUGAGGCUGAUGGGGAGUUGCACAGCCCAAGACCCCAGGCUGCAAGACAGUAUGGGGAUGAGGGCGAUCCUCCCAUAUUGGAGAUCAGGGAUGGGGUGGCCCAGCUAGGUAGAAGUGAAGCUCCCCCACCCCCACUGGAUUGUGAACCUCCUGAAAUUAGGGCUGUGACUUGUACCUUAUAAGUAUCACAUAGAUGAGAAAAAAUUUCAUCGAUGUAAUGGAUGGAACACUAGAUAGGAGAUCAGUAAGGAAAUAGAAGACUUUAAAAACACUGUAAACCAGCUAGACCUAACAGACACUGCUUUCUAACGGCGAUUGAAGAGCACAUUCCACCCAGCAACAGCAGAAUACACAUUCUUCUCAAGUGCACACGGACCAUUCUCUAGCAUAGAUCAUAUCUUAGGCCACAAAUCAAAUCUCAAUAAAUUUAGAAAAAUUGAAAUUACACAAAAUAUGUUCUCUGACAACAGAGUAAUGAAAUUAGAAGGUCAAAAACAGAAGGAAAUUUGAAAAUUCACAAAUAUGUAAAAAUUAAACGACACACUCCUAACCAAAGGGUCAAAAAAUAAAUCAUAAGGGAAAUUAGAAAAUACUUUGAGACGAAUGAAAACAAAAACACAACAUACUAAAACUUACAGGAUGCAGUAAAAGCAGUGCUCAGAGGGAAAUUUAUAGCUGUAAACACCUACCUUAAAAUAGAAGAUCUCAAAUCAAUAACCUUCCACCUUACUAAAAAAAAAAAAAGCAAACUAAAUCCAAAGCAAGCAAAUAAAAAAAUUAGAGCAGAGAUAAAUGAAACAGAGAACAGAAAAACGAUAGAGAAAAAUCAGCAAAACCAAAAGUUGGUUGUCUGAAAUGAUCUACAGAAUUGACAAACCUUUAGCUAAACUGACCGAGAAAAAAAAAAAGAGAGAGAAAACUGAAAUUACUAAAGUCAGGAAUGGAAGUGGAGACCUUGCCACUGACCUUACAGAAAUAAAAAGGAUUAUACAAUUUCACUGAUAGAUUCGAAAGAAACUCCACAACAUUUCUAGAGAUUGGAGAGAACAUCCGGAAAUGGUUACCAGUAGUUGCCUUCAGGGAAACAGGGCUGGGGUGGGUGGAGCUGGGGUGCCUGCUUUUUAUUAUAAGUCCUUAAGGGCUAUUUUUGUAAAUGCUUUGAUUGCAAAAUAUAAGACACAUACAGAAAAGUGGAUUUUUAAAAAGUACCGCUCAGUAAUUUAUCACCAAGUGAAUAUCCAUGAAACCACCACUUGGUCAAGAGGAACAUUACCACCUCCCCAGAAGCCCCUCCUGUACUCUAGCCAAUCCUCCUCCCCAAAGAAAACCACCAUUCUGACCUUUAUGGCAAAUACUCUUGCUCUCCUUGAUAGUUUUGCCAUCUCUACACACAAUAGUUGGGUUCAGUUCGUGCUUGAUAAAUCCAAUCAAGUAGCAGGUCCUCUUUUGGGUCCGGCUUCUUGCAUUUUACAUUCUGUUUGUGAGAUUCCCCAUGCUGUUGUAGGAAGCAAUCGUUGGCUCAAAUUUUCUUAGCUGUAUCAUAUUCCAUUUUAUGAGUACACCAUCAUUUAUGUGUCUGUUCAACUAUUGAUGGAAUGGGCUUUUUAAAAAGCCAUGUACCUAAAGAUAGGUUGAUUAAAAUAUUUCUGAUAAAAUGCACAUUUAAAAUGCAACUCAACACAUAUUAGUUUAAUUUCAUCCCUAGGAUCCUCAUUCCCUUUUCUGCUCCAAUAAGUCAUGAAGACAGCUUGGGUCUCAGAAGAAAAUAGGCCGUUUAAGCAGAAGCCCAGAGGGAACACAUCUGAGAGAUGCCCACACCCUCAUGGGGUCCUCUCAUCAGCCCUUCUCCCCAAAUUUUCAGCCUCAAAUGGGGGAGGUCACACAGAUGGAGAGAAACCACUCUCUCCCUUCCACCCGAGGUCUGCAGAUUCCUGACACACAUACGAGUGCACACCCAGGCAGACAGGCAAGAGCGUGGCCCCCACACAUGAGCACACACACGGGCACCUAGGCAUAUCCCAGAAGUGGCAAUGCCUGCUGGCACCUGACCAGCAGGCGAGGUCUGUGCACAGAGAAGUUGUGGAAGAAGAGGAGGGGAAAGCGUGGGGGAAAAAUCCCCUCAUUUCUGAAGAAAUGUCCCAGAUUAGAUUUGUAAAUCAAAAACCAAUAUAUAACAUGCAAGAAUUGAUCUGUUUUAUAUUCCUCAGUUACAUUUUUGUGAAGCACAUUUAGAAGAUUUAGAACGUAUUUGCGCCUGCUGGUUGGGCCAUUAUAUGCUUGAGUUCAUACAUCUAUUUGUGAGGCUAUAAAACAGGCAUCGACUACCAUGUAAAUUGUGUUCUCCACAAUAAAUUAUAUGCAUACUUGCAAAAAUACAUAACUGCCGUGCCUGGGCCAACGCGGCCAGAAUACUAAUGAGGGCGAAAGUUGCUUUGUCCCUCUUCUCCGGCCUAAUUUAGCCUCUACAUCAAAAAUUAUGUAGGAAAAAUCACUUUAUCCUCUCACUGAGAAAUAAAAUAGCACUCAUGGGUACCCUCAUCUCUUCCCACCCCCCUUCCUUUUAACCGAACACUACCAUUUUCAUACUAAUUUUAGCUGCUCCAGGUUUACGGGGAGGAAGGCUGGCUGAGCUGAAGCUGGGGUGCCAGCGGGCUGCCUGGAUGUAUGAGAAGGCUGUGGGAGUGGGCAUGUGCAUGCACACACUCACACACACACAUGCAUACACACGUAGGCACAUUCCCUCCGUGUGGUUUGAAUUCGCUUGUGCCAGGGCAUGUUCACAGCAUGCACACAGACCUACAUGUAAAUGUGAAGACUCACCCCAGACACGCAUGCACAGACACUCCACGAGCAUUUGCCCACGUGGCGCAGAUUCAUUCCCUCUCCCCGGUACAGACUCCUAUGCACAGAGACACACUGGGGAAAUUCAGUUCAGUUCGGUUCAAUUCAGUUCAAACAGGUCAGUCCAGCAAACACUGACUGAGCACCUAUUAGAUGCCAUGUGCUGUACUUGGCAUUGGGACUACGGAGAUUUUUUUUUAAAAAAGGCAGAAUCUCAGCUUAUAGCUCAGGGGAAGAGGCAGCUUUAGGAACAAAUGCAGACAAGUCAGUAUGCUGAGGGCUGUAGCAGAGACAGAGAGCAUACAGGUACACACACUCACGCCCUGGUCAUUGUCAGUGUGCAUAUUUUCCAGUACUCAUAUGUGCACACACAGAUGCACACAGAGUCCCUGCACUUACACAGGCACAUACCUCACACCACAUGGACUCACGUGUGCAUGCACAACACACACAUACACACACCGGUACACUCAAGCAUCAGCAUAGCCACCCUCCCACUGACACCGCAUGCUGGUGCCUGCCUCACCUCUGUCUUUCCUGCAAGCCCAAGUUAACUUCACGCCCUGUCUGGCUUGCCCUUUCUUGGGUUCUGUUGCUGUCUAUCCUGGAAGCAGAGCCACUUCCAACAGCAGGCUGGCUAGUGUUGCUCCCACUUCUCCCAGGGGCCUGCCCAAGGUUCCAUCUUGCUGGGAGCUUCCGCAGGCUCACAAGAGGAAGGAGAAGUAGACACAGGAAGAUCUCAUUUCCAUGACCUCAGGCCAGUCCGUGCCCUGUCCCAGGCCUCAGUUUACUCCUUUUCUUUUUCUUUUUUCCUUUCUUUUUUUUUUUUUUUUUUUUUUGAGAUGGAGUCUCACUCUGUCACCCAGGCUGGAGUGCAGUGGCGUGAUCUCUGCUCACUGCAACCUCCACCUCCCAGGUUCAAGCAAUUCUCGUGCCUCAGCCUCCCGAGUAGCUGGAACUACAGGUGUGCACCACUACAUCUAGCUGCCUUUUUUGUAUUUUUAGUAGAGACAGGGUUUCACCAUGUUUGCCAGGCUGGUCUCCAACUCCUGACCUCAGGUGAUCCGCCCGUGUUGGCCUCCCAAAAUGCUGGGAUUACAGGCGUAAGCCACCGUGCGCCCGGCCUACCCAUUUUUAAAAUGUGGGAAUUGGAUGGUCUCUGAGGCCAUCAGGCUCCAGAUGUCCACAGUUUGUGCUGAAGAAGGUGGCGCCUCAGUCCAAGUCAGAGAGUGUGAGACAACUGCAGAGACGCCCCCAACCUGGAGGCAUCUCGGCCCCGCUCCGAGCUCCCAGCCUAAGAGAAGCGUUUGACCUCAGGGGCAGGCCUCAUGAGGGCAGGAGAAGUCAUGUCCUGGAGAAAAGGAGUGGCAAGAUGUGGUAGGGGAGAGAAGACUUGGUGCAAGAGGGCCAGCUGGGAUAUUUAUAGGUGCCAGCCACGGUUCUAGGGGAAUUUCAUUCUAUCUUCAAACACCUGAAGGGCUGCCGUGGGGCAGAGGGAAAGGACUUCCUCUGCAUGACCCAGUUGGUAGAACUAGGACAGUGGGAAAGUGGUGGAGGCUGCAAGGAGACAGACAGCCUUUAGUUGAAUACAGUGAUCAGCGUGAUUUCUCCGUGCGUGCACCCGCCUACCAGCAUGCGUGGUGUACAUUCUGCUGCUGUGUAUUCCGUCUCCUUGCAGCCCUUUCUUUCCUCUGCUCCCUAUAGCUCAUCCUAUGGCUUUUCAUACCGUACUAUUUUCUCUUUAUCUCAGCUUGUUCUUGGAGUAGAAAAUAUGUUCUUUUUAAAAACGAAAAUCAGAUUUUUAUUGAGGAAAAAAUAUUAAGUUCACAUGAUGAAAAAUUCAAAUUGGUCAAAGGAUGUAUGGCGAAAAGAAGGUCUCUCUCUCUGGCUGCCCAGGCUCCUCCGGCUGCCCAGGCUCCUCCGGCUCAUCGUCAUCCAGCUUCCUUCUCCAGAAACAACCACUGUUACCAAUUGUUAUGUGUUUUUUCAGAAAUAUACUGUGCGUGCAAGCAUCUCUCUCUGUCUGUUGAUCUGUCCUUUAUUUAACACAAAUGUGAGCAUACCAUGUGCCCUGAUCCUUGCCUCCCCUCCCCUCCCCUCAUCCCAACCUAACUACGUAGCUUGGAAGGUGUUUCUGAGGAAAAGUUCUCCAUUGGGCGAUAUCUGACAAUGAAAUGGGCUAACGAGCUCUCAACACUGGGGAUGUGGAGGCACAGGCUAGAUGACCACUUGGGGAAAGAAAAAUGGGAGAGUUGGGCCCUUCCUUGGAGGAGGAAGGUUAGACUCAUGCCGUCUAAGGCCCUUUCCAUGAACCAGCUGCUUGGAUACAAAGAGAACAGCUCUCUUUAUCUUGCGUUCUUCCCAUUUUUCCCCACUCCCUCCCAGCGCCCCACAAGCUGGGCCAGGGUCACCAGUGUUUAAAGCCGCCCAGCCUUGGCUUCCAGCCCUUGUGUAAUUGACAAGAAUUCCCCCCCUCCCUAAGAGAUGGCCUCUCUCUGUGCCAGCCACAUGCCACUAAACUCCAAAUUAAGAGGCCCAGCUGAGAUUUCUGUCUUAUUCCACCCAUACUCCUGGGGCCAAUCCUCUCUCAUUUCAGGAGGGGAAUGGAACUCAGUUUGGAUUUGGGAAGGGGGGUAGAGGGGGCUCGCCACCAAAGCUGGUGCCUCUAUGCUCCAGAGAGAUGUGCGUGUCCUACCAUGCGGCUUAAGACUUCUCCAAAACACCGUCCCCCCAAAUCCAAUAAAAUUGCAAAUUUCACUGUAUUUCACAAUAUCCUAAAUAAACAUGAACAGC
Molecule: long non-coding RNA, 6935 nt
Filed under: Homo sapiens (human)
Lineage: Eukaryota; Metazoa; Chordata; Mammalia; Primates; Hominidae
Description: long non-coding RNA NONHSAT175148.1
Source: RNAcentral